Molecule: ribosomal RNA, 352 nt
Filed under: Boophis madagascariensis (Madagascar bright-eyed frog)
Lineage: Eukaryota; Metazoa; Chordata; Amphibia; Anura; Mantellidae
Description: partial 16S ribosomal RNA
Rfam family: Bacterial large subunit ribosomal RNA
Source: RNAcentral
ACGAGAAGACCCCAUGGAGCUUUAAACCCAACAACACCCGCCCCCCUCCAAAUCCUAUUAUUUACCCGGUGAUUGUUUGUUUGGUUUUAGGUUGGGGUGACCGCGGAGUAUAAGAUAUCCUCCAUGAAAAAAAGCUAACUGCCCUUAUUAGAGAAAGACACUUCCAAAAAAUAAUAAAUUAAUUUUAAAUGAUCCGACAUUCGAUCAACGAACCAAGUUACCCUGGGGAUAACAGCGCAAUCCGUCCCGAGAGCCCCUAUCGACAGGCGGGUUUACGACCUCGAUGUUGGAUCAGGGUAUCCCAGUGGUGCAGCAGCUACUAAAGGUUCGUUUGUUCAACGAUUAAAACCCU